Molecule: ribosomal RNA, 102 nt
Filed under: Halomonas sp. MC140
Lineage: Bacteria; Pseudomonadati; Pseudomonadota; Gammaproteobacteria; Oceanospirillales; Halomonadaceae
Description: partial 16S ribosomal RNA
Rfam family: Bacterial small subunit ribosomal RNA
Source: RNAcentral
AAACUGAAGAGUUUGAUCAUGGCUCAGAUUGAACGCUGGCGGCAGGCCUAACACAUGCAAGUCGAGCGGUAGCACAGAGAAGCUUGCUUCUUGGGUGACGAG